This is a long non-coding RNA of Labeo rohita (rohu), 855 nucleotides long. RefSeq lists it as uncharacterized. The transcript has 7 exons. Lineage: Eukaryota; Metazoa; Chordata; Actinopteri; Cypriniformes; Cyprinidae. The record is from RefSeq and is a predicted model, not a curated record.
UAAUGAAAUUUAAGUAAAAUUACUCAAAAUGUCCAAGACAUGCUGUUACGCAUGCGCACUGGGCGACAAUUGCCCCUCCCCCACGUCGCAGAAGCACAACGGCUGAAGACUCAACGUGUGUUUGCAGAGGAUCUAUUUCGGUAAAAUCAAGAAUACCAGCUGAUGACUGCUGUGCAGUGGAAAUAUCGAUCAUCUUGAUAAAACCUCAGUAUAUCAUCAGGAGCAACAGGCCACAUUUUCAGCUAAAAAUCUUCUUUGCUGUUCUGCUGAAGAAAAAUACUCAUGAACAUCUUGGGUGGCGUAAGGAUCUUUGCAGGAUUCAGUCGCAUAUCUCGGAUCUGAGUUCUGCGCAGCACUGGACACAGACUCUGCACUUUUGACAUUUUCUAGAAAAAGGAUUUUAAAUUUCACAUCAAGUUAAUUAAAAGUCAUCUGAUGUUUCCACUGCAGUACUUCAGGGCCUUUCAGUCAUCCUGGAGGAUGACCCACAGGAAUUUUACAGGAUGUGUUUCGAUGUGGAUGCAGACUUCAGUGAAGCAGUUGUAGACCUGCUCACAGUUCUACCAGAGGACAUAACCUCAUUGUGGAUGCAAUAAAGGCAAUCAUGGAGGGAAGAAUUGUCAUGGAUGGGUUUUAAAGGCCUGUAUUUUAUUUUUGCUGUUCUGUUUGCAUGCCAUUCUGAAAAUGCUCUAUUGUUUAACAGUGUUCCAGUGGGUCACGAUAAUGUUAUGACAACAAAGUGCUGUUUAGUUAAGAAGUCUGUAAAGAGUAUUAUAAGAACACAGAUGUUUUAAAAGCUAAUUUUUAUUAUUGUGAUAUUCUUAAAGUUUUUUACAAAAAUAAACUGUUGAGAAU